CAAAUUUUUAGAUAAAAGAAAAGAAUUUGAUAGUGUGAUUUAAACUGCAGAAAAUUGCUUCAUUUCUACAUAUCCACAUAUCAAGUUUCAUGUGGCUGAACUGAUUUUUGCAUUUCCAGUGUGUGUGUAUGAGAAAUUUUCAAUGUUUUCUGAUAACAUAUAUGAAAAAGAUAUAUUGAUAAAAAGUAUGUAAUGCCAAAAUAAUUCCCGUAAAAUAUGCAUUGCAAGACACAUAUCUAAUCAAUUUUGAGUUGUGUUUUUAUUAUUAUAUAGUAUGUUUAUUUUCUAAAUUUUUAUAAUGAUAUUAUUUAACGACAUUCCAUGUUUAUAACUUAUUUCAGAUUUUUAUAAACUAUAUUCUUAUUACCUAAUCUGUAAUCUUUAUAUUUACCUUAGAUUAACAUCGA
RNAcentral lists this long non-coding RNA (407 nucleotides) under Mytilus galloprovincialis (Mediterranean mussel). The record is from RNAcentral. Lineage: Eukaryota; Metazoa; Mollusca; Bivalvia; Mytilida; Mytilidae.